This 2413-nucleotide long non-coding RNA is filed under the name Fragaria vesca (wild strawberry). RNAcentral's name for it is "long non-coding RNA (FVES_LNC005136)". The record is from RNAcentral. Lineage: Eukaryota; Viridiplantae; Streptophyta; Magnoliopsida; Rosales; Rosaceae.
AGAGAGAGAAAGGAAAAGAAGGAGAAAUGGGUUGGGCUCGGCCCAGCCGACCCAACACUCCUUUUAACCCAAAAUUCCAAAAUUCAACACCCCGAAAUAAUACCCCAAUAAAAUUACCUUUUACUAACAAAAAUUACUAUUUUUUACCGUCGUCAAAAAUUCUUCCUUAGAAUAAUUCCCUCAAAAUAUUAGUCCCUCAACACCCUCUGGAAACUAAUUAAAUUACACACUUAGUGACGAACACGGUAAAAACUCUUGAUAUCACUAUGCCAGUAAUAAAGAUAAAAAUUAAGAUUCGGGGCGUGACACUAACACUCACGUCACGCCAUAAUGAUAUUUUACCUCAUUAUGACGGACCAAGCACGUCUGGCUAGCUAGCAUUUAUAUACAUAAUAUACUCAUAAACAUCAAAAAUACAUAUCCACCGAAAAUUUCAUUUUUCGGGAACUCUCCAAAGGAGGAAAAUUGCCAAAUAUCCGAGAAAGAAAUAAAACUCAGCAGAAGAAAUAAAUGGUCAACAGAAUAAUUCAUCGCAUGCUUUUCAAUUAAAAUAAAGGUCCACUCACAAAUUAGGCCUAAGCCUGAUGUCGCUCCGAGGCUUCUUCUGCUCGGGCCUCCUCUCGUCCUGUUCCAAAUAUAAUAUUAAUUUCCCAAACAAAAAUCCAAAACUUACACAAAAUAGGCAUAAUUAAAUGUGAGCCUUAAUCACACUCAUCCUUGCCCAACUUCGUCAUUCUUAACUCAAUAGGGUCUAAGCUUCACCGAACAUACUGGCAGCUUUAAUUCAAUUUUUUACCGAUUAUACGACUUUAAUCCAACGGUCGGAUUCUACCUUAAUUAACCGCCAAAAUUACUAAGCUUUAAAAAUUCCCAAACCUAUCCAAAACUCCUCCAAAAAUUCUAAAAUUCACAUCAAUAACUCCCAUUAUUAUAACCAAUCAAAAACCAUGAAAAUCCCCUAAACAGCGGCGGCCGGAGGCCUACUCUGGCGACCUCCAAAGCCUACCAAAUUUUAACAGCAGCUUCCUUUCAACUCUCUCUACAACUUUCUUAACUAGCACAACACCCAAUUCCAAGCCUAACCAUGCCAAUCGAACGAAAACAUCCUAGAAAACCCUAGAGCUUCAACACUAAUAUCUCCUUACCUAGCUCAAGAGAGGGUGAGACCUUUGGAGGGGUUGCUGCACGGGAGGAGGGCUUUCUUCCAAGCCAAGUAGCUCCUGCUAUGGCGGCCGGAGGAGAGAUUUCCGGCGAGAAGACCACCGGGCUUCCAAGGAGGACUUCCUCCGUUCGGUGGCGUUGCAGCGUUGCUCACUAGUCCAGGACGAUGGCGGAGCGGUCGGCGGACUAUGCUGGACCGGUGCGGCGUCUCCUCUUGGCCGGACGGCGGUGAUGGAGCUCGGGGAGUCUCCAGCAGUGUGAUGAAGAAUGAAGAAGUGAGAAGAUCGGGAAGAAGAAGGACAGAAAGAGAGGAGAGAAAUGGUUUGGGCCUCCCCAAACCGGUCCAACACAAAUAUACCCACACCCAAUAUAAACCCAACUCCAAAAAUAACACCAAAAAAUAAUACCCCACUAAAAGUUACCUUUUAAUAGCCGAAAUUUACCAUUUUUUCCGUCAUCGCAAUUUCUCUUACAAAUAAUUCCUCCGAAAUAAUCGUCCCUCAUAACCCCUCUAGAGACAAAAUAAACUAUAAAUUCAUUGACAGAGACGGUAAAAUUCUUAUUAAAACCAAGCUAGUAAAUAAGGUGAAAAUUUACGGGUUGGGAUGUGACACAAAGCCUCGGCCUGGCCCGUUACAUGCCCAUCAAAGCCCGCCCGGCCCGGCCCGGCCCUAAAAAGCCCGCCAAAGCUCGGCCCAAAAAGCCCUUUCAAUAGUUUUAUUAAUAUUUUUUAUGGAGUUAUUAGUUAAAUAUGUGAACUAAUUAAUGCAUUAAGUCAUUUAUUUUUAUUUUUAUUACAUUUAGUUCAAUCAUUAACAAAUCUUAACUUUUGUAUAGUUUUUGUUUUAUUUUGAUAAAAUUCUAUUAGAUAUAUGUAUAUAAUAGGCCUAGCCCGGCUCGGCCCUAAUAAGCCAGUAAGGCCUGGGCCCAUGGGGUUUGAUUUUUUUAAAUAACCCGGCCCAGCCUGGUUCGAGCCAAUAGGGCUUGGGUAGGGCAAGGCCGAGUCAGGCUUUUUGACGAUCCCUACAACAGCUUUUAGAAGUUGUUGUCAUUGAAAACACUAAAAAUUAAUACAUUUUGUCUUGACAACACUUUUAAAACUAAUAUUUACCAAACACUAAGUUAUUUUAAUUCAUAACUGAUUAUUUUCAAAGUACAACAACAUCAGGUUUUUUUAAAGUCACAGCAAUACCAAACUAGCCCUAAAAGUAUGUAAGCUAAUUCAAAUUUGAGAUAUUUAGUCCAACUGAUC